CCAGAGAUGGAUUGGUGCCUUCGGGAACUGUGAGACAGGUGCUGCAUGGCUGUCGUCAGCUCGUGUUGUGAAAUGUUGGGUUAAGUCCCGCAACGAGCGCAACCCUUAUCCUUUGUUGCCAGCGGUCCGGCCGGGAACUCAAAGGAGACUGCCAGUGAUAAACUGGAGGAAGGUGGGGAUGACGUCAAGUCAUCAUGGCCCUUACGACCAGGGCUACACACGUGCUACAAUGGCGCAUACAAAGAGAAGCGACCUCGCGAGAGCAAGCGGACCUCAUAAAGUGCGUCGUAGUCCGGAUUGGAGUCUGCAACUCGACUCCAUGAAGUCGGAAUCGCUAGUAAUCGUGGAUCAGAAUGCCACGGUGAAUACGUUCCCGGGCCUUGUACACACCGCCCGUCACACCAUGGGAGUGGGUUGCAAAAGAAGUAGGUAGCUUAACCUUCGGGAGGGCGCUUACCACUUUGUGAUUCAUGACUGGGGUGAAGUCGUAACAAGGUAACCGUAGGGGAACCUGCGGUUGGAUCACCUCCUUACCUUAAAGAAGC
RNAcentral lists this ribosomal RNA (545 nucleotides) under Acinetobacter baumannii. RNAcentral describes it as "bacterial SSU rRNA". It matches the Rfam family "Bacterial small subunit ribosomal RNA", at positions 1000 to 1533 of the family's 1533-position model. Lineage: Bacteria; Pseudomonadati; Pseudomonadota; Gammaproteobacteria; Moraxellales; Moraxellaceae. The record is from RNAcentral. RNAcentral also lists the same sequence under 1 other name.